GGACUACUAGGGUUUCUAAUCCUGUUUGCUCCCCACGCUUUCGUGCAUGAGCGUCAGUAUUGGCCCAGGGGGCUGCCUUCGCCAUCGGUAUUCCUCCACAUCUCUACGCAUUUCACUGCUACACGUGGAAUUCUACCCCCCUCUGCCAUACUCUAGCCUUGCAGUCACGAAUGCAGUUCCCAGGUUGAGCCCGGGGAUUUCACAUCCGUCUUACAAAACCGCCUGCGCACGCUUUACGCCCAGUAAUUCCGAUUAACGCUUGCACCCUACGUAUUACCGCGGCUGCUGGCAC
This 292-nucleotide ribosomal RNA is filed under the name uncultured bacterium. RNAcentral describes it as "partial 16S ribosomal RNA". The record is from RNAcentral.